Molecule: long non-coding RNA, 1080 nt
Filed under: Bos grunniens (domestic yak)
Lineage: Eukaryota; Metazoa; Chordata; Mammalia; Artiodactyla; Bovidae
Description: lncRNA (ENSBGRG00000002749.1)
Source: RNAcentral
AUGUCUCCGCACGGGCAAGUGCUUGAAUCAGUCAAGUGUGACUCGGAGCUUGUGUGUGUGUGUGUGUGGGUACGCGCGCGCGCACACGCGCUUGUGUGCCACCAGAGGAAGCAGCAGCAAGAGGCAGGAGCAUCGAUCCGAAGGAGACAGCGCGGGGAGGGGGACGCUGGGGGCAGACACCUUCCCUCCCGUGCGCGCGCGCGCGCGCACUCAAACACACACACACACACACACACACCACAGUCAGACACAAGCCACAGGGCCUCGCAAGCAGGGAGACGGCUCCGGGACCCGAGGGAGGCAGCGCCGCCGAGCGCGGCCAGGAGGAGGGGGCGAGGCAGCGGGGGGAACCCUCGAUCCCGCUCCCCGGUCCGGGGUCCCCGCGCGCACACUGGCCCAGAGACACCCUCGCAGACACUCGUAGGCGCGCACGCGCACCCUCUCCCCUCCCCCGCCGCCUCCCCUCCCGCCGCCUCCCGGCCGGACGAUGGAUCCCUGCAGAUCCCGGGGCUGAGAGCACCGCGCACCGCGCCGAGCCCGGGCGGACUGAGCCGAGGCGAGCGAGGGAGCGCGCGCGGCGGGCGGGCAGACGGAGCCGAGCCGAGCCAGGCCGGGCGGGCCGCUCCCUGCAGGGCUCUGCGCGGCGUGCCGCGGCGGCCGCCGGCUCCCGCUCCGGGCCAUGAGCCCCUCCGCGGCUCGGCGCUGAGCCCACGUCCGGCCCCGCGCCCCAGGACCCGCCGCCGGUUGCCGGGUUCCCGAAGCCCCCUCAGGUGGGUCUCCGAUUCCCCCGCCUUUGGCUGCGGGACUCCCCAGCGCCCGGAAGCCGGGACUUUCCUCCCCUGUAGCUUUCCCCAGCUUCUGGGGCGCCUCAGUGGCUGGGGAGGGGGGCGGGGGCCGAGCAGGGCAUCUGGCUGCGUCGAGAAGCUAGACUGGGGUGGGGGGGUUGCGUCCGGGGCGGGGACAGCUCGCUGUCAUAGGGAACCGCGCCCCCCCCCCCAUUUCUGUGCAGCCACCUCGGGCUGCCCUCUACCCCCCACCCCCCACCCCAAACAUGCACACCUACAGCCUGCGCCGUUCUGA